AGUAUGGAGAGUUUGAUCCUGGCUCAGAACGAACGUUGGCGAUGCGUCUUAAGCAUGCAAGUCGAGCGGGAUUAUUGUAGCAAUAUAAUAGUUCAGCGGCGGACUGGUGAGUAACGCGUGGAUAAUCUGCCCCGGAGUGGGGGACAACGCCUGGAAACAGGCGCUAAUACCCCAUCGACCCUUGUGACAUAAGUUGCGUAGGGUAAAGUAGCAAUAUGCUCCGGGAUGAGUCUGCGUCCGAUUAGCUAGUUGGUGAGGUAAUGGCCCACCAAGGCGACGAUCGGUAGCCGGCCUGAGAGGGUGUACGGCCACAUUGGGACUGAGAUACGGCCCAGACUCCUACGGGAGGCAGCAGCUGAGAAUCUUCCACAAUGGACGAAAGUCUGAUGGAGCGACAUCGCGUGAGGGAUGAAGGCCUUCGGGUUGUAAACCUCUUUUUACGCUGACGAAUAAUUGACGGUAAGCGUUGAAUAAGCCUCGGCUAACUACGUGCCAGCAGCCGCGGUAAUACGUAGGAGGCGAACGUUGUUCGGAUUUACUGGGCGUAAAGGGUGAGUAGGCGGAGUGGUAAGUCAUUGGUGAAAGACCGGGGCCCAACCCCGGGAACGCCUUUGAUACUAUCAUUCUUGAGUGCGAUAGAGGAUGGUGGAAUUCCUGGUGUAAGGGUGGAAUCUGUAGAUAUCAGGAGGAACAUCGAUGGCGAAGGCAACCAUCUGGGUCGCAACUGACGCUGAAUCACGAAAGCUGGAGUAGCAAACGGGAUUAGAUACCCCGGUAGUUCCAGCCGUAAACUAUGUACACUGGGUGUUUGCGGUUUAUCCGUAGGCACCGUAGCUAACGUGUUAAGUGUACCGCCUGGGGAGUAUGCUCGCAAGGGUGAAACUCAAAGGAAUUGACGGGGGCCCGCACAAGCGGUGGAGCAUGUGGUUCAAUUCGAUGAUACGCGAAAAACCUUACCUGGGUUUGAAAUGCCGGGGGAAUGCCACAGAGAUGUGACAGCCCGAAAGGGUCGCCGGCACAGGUGCUGCAUGGCUGUCGUCAGCUCGUGUCGUGAGAUGUUGGGUUAAGUCCCGCAACGAGCGCAACCCUUAUCCCUUGUUGCCACCGGGUAAUGCCGGGUACUCUUGGGAAACUGCCUGUGACAAACAGGAGGAAGGCGGGGAUGACGUCAAGUCCUCAUGGCCCUUAUGUCCAGGGCUACACACGUGCUACAAUGGACGGUACAAAGGGAAGCAAGACCGCGAGGUGGAGCAAAUCCCAAAAAGCCGUCCUCAGUUCGGAUUGGAGUCUGAAACUCGACUCCAUGAAGCCGGAAUCGCUAGUAAUCGCAGAUCAGCAUGCUGCGGUGAAUACGUUCCCGGGCCUUGUACACACCGCCCGUCACACCACCCGAGUCGGUUUCACCCGAAGUCGUUAGCUUAACCGUAAGGAGAGCGGCGCCUAAGGUGAGACUGGUGAGGAGGGUGAAGUCGUAACAAGGCAGCCGUACCGGAAGGUGUGGCUGGAUCACCUCCUUU
Molecule: ribosomal RNA, 1517 nt
Filed under: Spirochaetota bacterium
Lineage: Bacteria; Pseudomonadati; Spirochaetota
Description: bacterial SSU rRNA
Rfam family: Bacterial small subunit ribosomal RNA
Source: RNAcentral